CAGUGGGGAAUAUUGGACAAUGGGCGCAAGCCUGAUCCAGCCAUGCCGCGUGAGUGAUGAAGGUCUUAGGAUUGUAAAGCUCUUUCACCGAUGAAGAUAAUGACGGUAGUCGGAGAAGAAGCCCCGGCUAACUUCGUGCCAGCAGCCGCGGUAAUACGAAGGGGGCUAGCGUUGUUCGGAAUUACUGGGCGUAAAGCGCACGUAGGCGGGUAUUUAAGUCAGGGGUGAAAUCCCGCAGCUCAACUGCGGAACUGCCUUUGAUACUGGGUAUCUUGAGUAUGGAAGAGGUAAGUGGAAUUGCGAGUGUAGAGGUGAAAUUCGUAGAUAUUCGCAGGAACACCAGUGGCGAAGGCGGCUUACUGGUCCAUUACUGACGCUGAGGUGCGAAAGCGUGGGGAGCAAACAGGAUU
This 410-nucleotide ribosomal RNA is filed under the name Gillisella vitis. RNAcentral describes it as "bacterial SSU rRNA". It matches the Rfam family "Bacterial small subunit ribosomal RNA", at positions 352 to 779 of the family's 1533-position model. The record is from RNAcentral. Lineage: Bacteria; Pseudomonadati; Pseudomonadota; Alphaproteobacteria; Hyphomicrobiales; Rhizobiaceae.